RNAcentral lists this ribosomal RNA (908 nucleotides) under uncultured archaeon. RNAcentral describes it as "bacterial SSU rRNA". It matches the Rfam family "Archaeal small subunit ribosomal RNA", at positions 30 to 922 of the family's 1478-position model. The record is from RNAcentral.
CCCUUGGGUUGAUAGAAUGCUAGUCGAGCGCUUCAGCCAAAAAGAGGCGCGGCAUACAGCUCAGUAACACGUGGCUAAUCUGCCCUUAGGACGAGAACAACCCCGGGAAACUGGGGCUAACUCUCGAUAGGCGAAGAACUCUGGAAUGAGUCUUCACCCAAAAAGCUUUACGUUAUGCGCGUGAAGUCGCCUAAGGAUGAGGCCGCGACCGAUCAGGUUGUUGGUGAGGUAAUGGCUCACCAAGCCUUUUACCGGUGCGGGCCGUGAGAGCGGGAGCCCGGAGAUGGGCACUGAGACAAGGGCCCAGGCCCUACGGGGCGCAGCAGUCGCGAAAACUUUGCAAUACACGAAAGUGUGACAGGGCUAUCCCGAGUGCCAUCCGCUGAGGAAGGCUUUUACCCAGUCUAGAACGCUGGGGGAAUAAGGAGAGGGCAAGUCUGGUGUCAGCCGCCGCGGUAAUACCAGCUCUCCGAGUGGUGUGGAUGUUUAUUGGGCCUAAAGCAUCCGUAGCUGGCUAAGUUAGUCCCUUGUUAAAUCCACCGAAUUAAUCGUUGGAUUGCGGGGGAUACUGCUUGGCUAGGGGACGAGAGAGGCAGACGGUAUUCCCGGGGUAGGGGUGAAAUCCUAUAAUCCCGAGAAGACCACCAGUGGCGAAGGCUGUCUGCUAGAACGCGCCCGACGGUGAGGGAUGAAAGCUGGGGGAGCGAACCAGAUUAGAUACCCGGGUAGUCCCAGCUGUAAACGAUGCAGGCUAGGUGUUUGGACGGCCACGUGCCGUUCUAGUGCCGCAGGGAAGCUGUUAAGCCUGCCGCCUGGGGAGUACGAUCGCAAGAUUGAAACUUAAAGGAAUUGGCGGGGGAGCACCACAAAGGGGUGAAGCUUGCGGUUUAAUUGGAUUCAACGCCGGG